Nicotiana tabacum (common tobacco) is the source of this 1538-nucleotide non-coding RNA. The record is from RefSeq and is a predicted model, not a curated record. Lineage: Eukaryota; Viridiplantae; Streptophyta; Magnoliopsida; Solanales; Solanaceae.
CGGAGAAGGAUGAGCACCCGAAGAUCUACCGCAUGAAGCUUUGGGCAACCAAUGAGGUCCGUGCCAAGUCCAAGUUCUGGUAACUAAUGGAGGUGCUUGUGAAUGCCGACUAAAGACGUGGUUGUUGGUGGUUUUGGUUGAUGGUGGUGGUUCUGGGUAGUAGCUAGUGGUGAUUGGUAGCAAUAACGAUUAUGGUGGAGGAUAGUGGUGGUGCAUGGUGAAUGUUAAUAAUGGUGGGUGGUGGCGAUGGUUGUGGUUGUGAUUGUGAUUGAGGAGAGUGAUGGUGGGUGGUGGUAGUUUAUAGUGGUGGUUGCUGAUGAUGAUGGGGUGAUUGGUUGUGGUAGUUGAGGUGGGUGAAUGUGUGGUUGUGGUUGGAUGAUGGUGGUGGUAGUUGAUGAUAGUUGGCGGUGAGAGUAAUGAAUGUGGAUGAUAGCAUCUCAAUGAAAUUAAGUCUUUGUUAUGGAUCUUAAUCAUACAGAUCUAUUCAGACUCAUUCAGUGGUUGUAAAGUAAAAAAACACACUUAAUAAUUAAGAUUUGAUUGAUUAAAACUUAAACUUUAAAAACAAACACUUAAUGUAUGAGAUCUGAAUGAUUAAGAUUCAGACUUCCAUUCAGUGCAAACAGAUGAGGCCUUAAUCUCCUUAACUUAGUUAAAACCCAAUAAUAAUAGACAACCAACAUAAUGAACCUAACUGAGCAAUUCUAACUUAUAUCUUUUCAUGACAAUUUUAGCAUAUGCUCAAAUAUAAUAAUAACCUACAAAAAAAAUAAAAAAUAACAUGAUAAGUGAAACUCCAUUUGAUCACGUCGAUGCAACUUCAUUUAGAACAAAAAAAAAGAAACAGAAAAUCGAGCAAAUACUAUUCAAGCAUCAACAAAAAAAAAUUGUAAAUCAAAGAAUGCAUAGAGUUAGAAUUGGACCUCAAAAAAUUGCAACUUUCAAUUCAUUUUUAUAUGGCUUCCAGCUUGAUUUACAGAGCAAAUGAAUGAUUGUUCUGAAAACUGCUCAAAGACCGAAACCGCCACUGGAGCUCGAACAGAAAAACCUCGCUUGGACCUCAAGCAGAAUCGUGUUGGGCGACCUCGACUCAACUCCCAACACUGCUGUUAUAUGCAUGAAAAGGGAGCUGUUUGGAGCUGCAUUUUGGAGCUAUUUCACGUAGGUUUGGUUUUGUAGUGGUUUAAGUGGCUGAUUUCUGGUGGUUUUGGGGCAGCGUUUUGGACUGUUUUGCAGCUGAUUUUUGCUGCUCUUUUUUGGCUGUUUCGCAGCUGAUUUCUGUUGCGUUUUGGGUGCUUUUCGGGGCUAUUUAACUGGAAAAGAGAGGCUGUUUUAAUGGUGGUUUAUGGUGGGUCGUAGCUGCUGGUUUUUAAUUAGUUUUCACGGAGUUUGUGGGUUUUAGACUGGUUUUUGGUGGUGAAGGAAGCUGGUUUACUGCCUGGAGUUUGGCUUGAUUUUUGUGGUAUUUUUUGGGCUCGUUUAAGCUUGUUUAAUGCUUAAAGAUUGAAGCUUUUUGCUCCGUUAAUGAUUGUUGGUUA